Molecule: unclassified non-coding RNA, 236 nt
Filed under: air metagenome
Description: partial contains small subunit ribosomal RNA, internal transcribed spacer 1, and 5.8S ribosomal RNA
Rfam family: Eukaryotic small subunit ribosomal RNA (bases 1-46)
Source: RNAcentral
AAGUCGUAACAAGGUUUCCGUAGGUGAACCUGCGGAAGGAUCAUUACAGUGUUCGCUGCCCUCACGGGUAGCAAACCUCACCCUUGUGUAUUAUAUCUUUGUUGCUUUGGCACGCCGCCUUCGGGUACCGGCUUCGGCUGGCUCGCGCGUGUCAGAGAACCUAAAACUCUGAAUGUUAGUGUCGUCUGAGUACUAUCUAAUAGUUAAAACUUUCAACAACGGAUCUCUUGGUUCUG